GACGAACGCUGGCGGCGUGCUUAACACAUGCAAGUCGAACGAAGAGCGAUGGACGCUUGCUUCUCUCAAUCUUAGUGGCGAACGGGUGAGUAACGCGUAAUCAACCUGCCCUUCAGAGGGGGACAACAGUUGGAAACGACUGCUAAUACCGCAUACGAUCUAAUCUCGGCAUCGAGGAUAGAUGAAAGGUGGCCUCUACAUGUAAGCUAUCACUGAAGGAGGGGAUUGCGUCUGAUUAGCUAGUUGGAGGGGUAACGGCCCACCAAGGCGAUGAUCAGUAGCCGGUCUGAGAGGAUGAACGGCCACAUUGGGACUGAGACACGGCCCAGACUCCUACGGGAGGCAGCAGUGGGGAAUCUUACGCAAUGGACGAAAGUCUGACGGAGCAACGCCGCGUGAGCGAGGACGGCCUUCGGGUUGUAAAGCUCUGUUAAUCGGGACGAAAGGCCUUCUUGCGAAUAGUGAGAAGGAUUGACGGUACCGGAAUAGAAAGCCACGGCUAACUACGUG
This 510-nucleotide ribosomal RNA is filed under the name uncultured bacterium. Its description in RNAcentral is "partial 16S ribosomal RNA". It matches the Rfam family "Bacterial small subunit ribosomal RNA", at positions 28 to 507 of the family's 1533-position model. The record is from RNAcentral.